This 1227-nucleotide long non-coding RNA is filed under the name Homo sapiens (human). RNAcentral's name for it is "HSALNT0321555". The record is from RNAcentral. Lineage: Eukaryota; Metazoa; Chordata; Mammalia; Primates; Hominidae.
AAUCAACUCCAGCCCUGGGCAUCCACUCCACUUCCACAAGGUGAGCUGUCACAGAUUAUUUACAAAAAUGAGUCUGGAAAAGUCUCUUUCUUUGCCGUAUUUCUUUCCAUUUAUUCCUUCUUUAUCUUUACCUUUACCUUAUUUAAUUUCAUAAUGAUUUUUCGUUCUAUUUAAGUUUUCUUUCUCUUCUUUCCUCUGUUGGUUUUCUAAUGCCCUUUAUUCCUUUUCCUAUUCAAAAUAGUCUAGAUCUAAAGACAAGUAGUCCAGGGAAUGGUCAGAUAAAAAAGAAUUUUCCAUAAAUUCUAUUGUGAGAUACUAAUUUUAAAAUAUUAAUCUAGCUAGACCAGGAAAAAAAAUAAUCCAAACAGCAACAUUUCUACAUGCAUAGAAUGUAGAAUAUUAGUGUUAUACUUUUAUUUAAAGCAUAUGUGUUAUGACUGAAUCAUUAUAUUUAUCAAUAAUGGUUUUCAAGGAAAUCAUACACCAAAAUAGCAUAGAAUCCUUGCUUGAAGUUUUACUUGAAGUGUAACAGAGUGUUUGAUGAGACAAUAAUUGUAAUAUUUUCCAGCAGAUGGAAAAAAUCAUUAUAUAACUGAUCUUCAGAGACCACAAUGUAAAAGUGUGCACUGUUCUUUUAUUUGUCAAAUAUGCACCACACCAUUCCAGCAACUGAAAUUAGGUAAUUGGUUUGCAACCUCAGAAAAUUAGAACCUAGCAAAUAUAUCCAUUCAUAGACUAAAUAAAGUGGUCAUGAAAGAUACUGACUGAAUCAUAUUAUAGCUUAAUCCAUUCACAUAACUAUUUUGGAAGCCUGUUGGAAUUAAUGUUAAAGGUGACUUAAAUUUUCCAAAGAACAUUUGAUAUCCAGUGGUGGUAGUGCUGUAUUUUAGAAAGAAUAUGGUUUUUUUAAAGCCCAACUUGUUUGGAUUUAAAUCCAGACUUCAGCAUUUCCAUCCUGUAGAAAUCAGGCAAUAUUUUUUUAAAAACUUCUCUAAGCCUUAAUACUUUUCUCUGUAAAAUGUAGAAAGCAAAAAUUAAAGAAAAUUCGACUUAGCAUUUUCCAUACAUAUGGAAUCAUAUGUAUGGCUUCCACAUGGUAUGUGCUUCUCAUAUAUUACUUUCUUGCUGCUUUCAAUUGACAUCUUCAUACAAAUAAAUACUUAUUGAUAUAACAUACUAUACAAACAUAACAAUUCGUAAGAACUAAUUACUAAAAUCUAUGUGCAA